This 931-nucleotide ribosomal RNA is filed under the name Triticum aestivum (bread wheat). Its description in RNAcentral is "partial small subunit ribosomal RNA". Lineage: Eukaryota; Viridiplantae; Streptophyta; Magnoliopsida; Poales; Poaceae. The record is from RNAcentral.
GUCGUUGCUCGAUCUAGUUUGUGUCUAGUGGCUCGAUAGUAGACAGGCACACACGAUCGACGAUUAAGAGAUUAGCUAGUACCCACCUCCGGUGCUGUACGUGCCGCCGGUGUUGCCGCCGCACUUCCCGAAGCACUUGCCGCCCUUUCCGGUGCCGAUGCCUAGCAGUAUGCCGGUCCCCGUGCCGAUGCCGCCACCGGUACAUGUCCCGAUGGUCGUCCCGAUGCCGCCGGUACCGGUCUCGAUGCUCGUGCCCAUGCCGCCGGUACGAGUCGUGCCCGUGCCGCGGAUGCUCGUGCCCAUGCCGCCGCCUGUACGCGUCGUGCCGGUACCGGUGCCCGUGCCCAUGCCGCCUGUGCACGUCGUCGUGCCUAUGCCGCCGCCGGUGCGCGUCGAGCCCAUGGGAGGACGACGGCCACGGAUGGGAGGCGUGCCGCCUAUGGUCCGCGUGCCGAUGCGCGGCCGCCGGAUGGGGAGGGUGCCCCGCGUGGUGCCAGUGUACCCUAGCAUGGUGUGGCCCGUACCGCCGCCCGUGGUGGUGCCGCCGUUCAUGGUGCCGCCGUUCGUGCCGCCGUUCAUGGUACCGCCGUUCGUGCCGUCAUCCACCACUUCAUGACUUCACCGAUCGACGUCGGUAACGAGCGCGCGAGAUGCUGCAGGUGCAUGGACGCGGGGGGGUACCGGUCAAUGCGACCGCAUAGAGGUAGUAGACGGAAUCAACUAAGUCGUACGAGACAACAUCGCUGCUUAUUACAGAAUGUAAUAACCUUGCUUCCCUCAUAUAAUAUAUAACAUAAUGGUUUUAUUUCUCGAUGCGCACGUACCCGUAUUACACACUAUACAUUACUAGACACAUGGGAUUUUUUUUCAUUACUAGACACACCACUGCAUUCAGACAGCCCGUACCGAGUUAUCCUCAUGAUUUAUUUGC